Non-coding RNA from Streptomyces sp. 13-12-16, 47 nucleotides. NCBI's taxonomy places the organism in Bacteria, Bacillati, Actinomycetota, Actinomycetes, Kitasatosporales, Streptomycetaceae. The record is from Rfam.
UCGGCCCCGGUUCACGCCUCCGCACCCCGCGGAUGCGACCCGGUGCC